UACGUAGGGGGCAAGCGUUGUCCGGAAUCAUUGGGCGUAAAGCGCGUGUAGGCGGCUUGGUAAGUCCGCUCUGAAAGCCCGGGGCUCAACCCCGGGAGGCGGGUGGAUACUGCUCAGCUCGAGUCCGGAAGAGGAGUGUGGAAUUCCUGGUGUAGCGGUGAAAUGCGCAGAUAUCAGGAGGAACACCAAUGGCGAAGGCAGCACUCUGGGACGGUACUGACGCUGAGACGCGAAAGCGUGGGGAGCGAACAGG
RNAcentral lists this ribosomal RNA (253 nucleotides) under uncultured bacterium. RNAcentral's name for it is "partial 16S ribosomal RNA". It matches the Rfam family "Bacterial small subunit ribosomal RNA", at positions 524 to 776 of the family's 1533-position model. The record is from RNAcentral.